GGAAAGGCGCGCGAUACAGGGUGACAGCCCCGUACACAAAAAUGCACAUGCUGUGAGCUCGAUGAGUAGGGCGGGACACGUGGUAUCCUGUCUGAAUAUGGGGGGACCAUCCUCCAAGGCUAAAUACUCCUGACUGACCGAUAGUGAACCAGUACCGUGAGGGAAAGGCGAAAAGAACCCCGGCGAGGGGAGUGAAAAAGAACCUGAAACCGUGUACGUACAAGCAGUGGGAGCACGCUUAGGCGUGUGACUGCGUACCUUUUGUAUAAUGGGUCAGCGACUUAUAUUCUGUAGCAAGGUUAACCGAAUAGGGGAGCCGAAGGGAAACCGAGUCUUAACUGGGCGUUAAGUUGCAGGGUAUAGACCCGAAACCCGGUGAUCUAGCCAUGGGCAGGUUGAAGGUUGGGUAACACUAACUGGAGGACCGAACCGACUAAUGUUGAAAAAUUAGCGGAUGACUUGUGGCUGGGGGUGAAAGGCCAAUCAAACCGGGAGAUAGCUGGUUCUCCCCGAAAGCUAUUUAGGUAGCGCCUCGUGAAUUCAUCUCCGGGGGUAGAGCACUGUUUCGGCAAGGGGGUCAUCCCGACUUACCAACCCGAUGCAAACUGCGAAUACCGGAGAAUGUUAUCACGGGAGACACACGGCGGGUGCUAACGUCCGUCGUGAAGAGGGAAACAACCCAGACCGCCAGCUAAGGUCCCAAAGUCAUGGUUAAGUGGGAAACGAUGUGGGAAGGCCCAGACAG
This 745-nucleotide ribosomal RNA is filed under the name Escherichia coli. RNAcentral's name for it is "partial 23S ribosomal RNA". It matches the Rfam family "Bacterial large subunit ribosomal RNA", at positions 344 to 1092 of the family's 2925-position model. Lineage: Bacteria; Pseudomonadati; Pseudomonadota; Gammaproteobacteria; Enterobacterales; Enterobacteriaceae. The record is from RNAcentral.